RNAcentral lists this ribosomal RNA (468 nucleotides) under uncultured bacterium. Its description in RNAcentral is "partial 16S ribosomal RNA". It matches the Rfam family "Bacterial small subunit ribosomal RNA", at positions 28 to 507 of the family's 1533-position model. The record is from RNAcentral.
GACGAACGCUGGCGGCGUGCUUAACACAUGCAAGUCGAACGGAAAGGCCCUGCUUUUGUGGGGUGCUCGAGUAGCGAACGGGUGAGUAACACGUGAGUAACCUGCCCUUGACUUUGGGAUAACUUCAGGAAACUGGGGCUAAUACCGGAUAGGAGCUCCUGCUGCAUGGUGGGGGUUGGAAAGUUUCGGCGGUUGGGGAUGGACUCGCGGCUUAUCAGCUUGUUGGUGGGGUAGUGGCUUACCAAGGCUUUGACGGGUAGCCGGCCUGAGAGGGUGACCGGCCACAUUGGGACUGAGAUACGGCCCAGACUCCAACGGGAGGCAGCAGUGGGGAAUAUUGCACAGUGGGCGGAAGCCUGAUGCAGCAACGCCGCGUGCGGGAUGACGGCCUUCGGGUUGUAAACCGAUUUCGCCUGUGACGAAGCGUGAGUGACGGUAAUGGGUAAAGAAGCACCGGCUAACUACGUG